GACGAACGCUGGCGGCGUGCUUAACACAUGCAAGUCGAACGGAAAGGCCUGCUUUCCCUUGUGGAUUGCGGGUGCUCGAGUGGCGAACGGGUGAGUAACACGUGAGUGAUCUGCCCCCAACUUGGGUAUAAGCCUGGGAAACUGGGUCUAAUUCCCGAUAGGACUGCAGGGUGGUGCCUGUGGUGGAAAACGAUUUUCUAGUGGUUGGGGAUGAGCUCGCGGCCUAUCAGCUUGUUGGUGGGGUAAUGGCCUACCAAGGCGGCGACGGGUAGCCGGCCGGAGAGGGUGGACGGGCACAUUGGGACUGAGAUACGGCCCAGACUCCUACGGGAGGCAGCAGUGGGGAAUAGUGCACAAGGGGCGGAAGCCUGAUGCAGCGACGCCGCGUGGGGGAUGACGGCCUUCGGGUUGUAAACUCCUUUCGACCGCGAGGAAGCCACCUGGUUGGAAGGGUGGUGACGGUAGUGGUAGAAGAAGCACCGGCUAACUACGUG
This 494-nucleotide ribosomal RNA is filed under the name uncultured bacterium. RNAcentral's name for it is "partial 16S ribosomal RNA". It matches the Rfam family "Bacterial small subunit ribosomal RNA", at positions 28 to 507 of the family's 1533-position model. The record is from RNAcentral.